CCUACGGGGGGCAGCAGCGGGGAAUAUUGCACAAUGGGCGCAAGCCUGAUGCAGCCAUGCCGCGUGUGUGAAGAAGGCCUUCGGGUUGUAAAGCACUUUCAGCGGGGAGGAAGGCGGUGAGGUUAAUAACCUCAUCGAUUGACGUUACCCGCAGAAGAAGCAACGGCUAACUCCGUGCCAGCAGCCGCGGUAAUACGGAGGGUGCAAGCGUUAAUCGGAAUUACUGGGCGUAAAGCGCACGCAGGCGGUCUGUCAAGUCGGAUGUGAAAUCCCCGGGCUCAACCUGGGAACUGCAUUCGAAACUGGCAGGCUAGAGUCUUGUAGAGGGGGGUAGAAUUCCAGGUGUAGCGGUGAAAUGCGUAGAGAUCUGGAGGAAUACCGGUGGCGAAGGCGGCCCCCUGGACAAAGACUGACGCUCAGGUGCGAAAGCGUGGGGAGCAAACAGGAUUAGAUACCCGGGUAGUC
RNAcentral lists this ribosomal RNA (465 nucleotides) under uncultured Klebsiella sp. Its description in RNAcentral is "bacterial SSU rRNA". It matches the Rfam family "Bacterial small subunit ribosomal RNA", at positions 338 to 795 of the family's 1533-position model. Lineage: Bacteria; Pseudomonadati; Pseudomonadota; Gammaproteobacteria; Enterobacterales; Enterobacteriaceae. The record is from RNAcentral.